This 542-nucleotide ribosomal RNA is filed under the name uncultured archaeon. RNAcentral's name for it is "bacterial SSU rRNA". It matches the Rfam family "Archaeal small subunit ribosomal RNA", at positions 337 to 879 of the family's 1478-position model. The record is from RNAcentral.
AGGCGCGAAAACUCUACAAUGCAGGCAACUGCGAUAGGGGAACAUCGAGUGGCACCCACCAUGGGUGUCUGUCCAGCCGUCUAAAAAACGGCUGUUAGCAAGGGCCGGGCAAGACCGGUGCCAGCCGCCGCGGUAAUACCGGCGGCUCGAGUGGUGGCCGAUAUUAUUGAGUCUAAAGGGUCCGUAGCCGGCUUUGCAAGUCCCCUGGGAAAUCCAGCGGCUUAACCGUUGGGCUUUCAUGGGAUACUACAUUGCUUGGGACUGGGAGAGGUAGGAGGUACUCAGGGGGUAGGGGUGAAAUCCUGUAAUCCUCUGGGGACCACCGGUGGCGAAGGCGUCCUACCAGAACAGGUCCGACGGUGAGGGACGAAAGCUAGGGGCACGAACCGGAUUAGAUACCCGGGUAGUCCUAGCCGUAAACGAUGCUCGCUAGGUGUCACGGCAGUCGUGAAUUGUCGUGGUGCCGUAGGGAAGCCGUGAAGCGAGCCACUUGGGAAGUACGACCGCAAGGUUGAAACUUAAAGGAAUUGGCGGGGGAGCAC